This 253-nucleotide ribosomal RNA is filed under the name uncultured bacterium. RNAcentral's name for it is "partial 16S ribosomal RNA". It matches the Rfam family "Bacterial small subunit ribosomal RNA", at positions 524 to 776 of the family's 1533-position model. The record is from RNAcentral.
UACAGAGGUCUCAAGCGUUGUUCGGAUUCAUUGGGCGUAAAGGGUGCGUAGGCGGCUCGGUAAGUCGGGUGUGAAAUCUCGGAGCUUAACUCCGAAACUGCAUUCGAUACUGCCGUGCUUGAGGACUGGAGAGGAGACUGGAAUUUACGAUGUAGCGGUGAAAUGCGUAGAUAUCGUAAGGAAGACCAGUGGCGAAGGCGGGUCUCUGGACAGUUCCUGACGCUGAGGCACGAAGGCCAGGGGAGCAAACGGG